Vicia faba (fava bean) is the source of this 70-nucleotide non-coding RNA. Lineage: Eukaryota; Viridiplantae; Streptophyta; Magnoliopsida; Fabales; Fabaceae. The record is from the annotation of a GenBank genome assembly.
CACUGAAUCUAGCCGGGAAAACAGCCGGAGUUGGUCGCCGAAGGCCGUAACAGGUUUGAAUUGGUUAUGA